RNAcentral lists this unclassified non-coding RNA (487 nucleotides) under Hevea brasiliensis (rubber tree). Lineage: Eukaryota; Viridiplantae; Streptophyta; Magnoliopsida; Malpighiales; Euphorbiaceae. The record is from RNAcentral.
UGUGUUAAGAGAAAAAUAUAGGAAUAAGAUAUAGAUUCAGACUUAGAGAGGAUUGAGAAAGUCAUAAGAAUUUCUUAAUAAGAGAUGAUAUCUUAUUACAUUUUGAAGAUAGAAGUAACAAAGGCUUUCCUUUCAUAAAGGAAAAGAGAGAACAGGCAAACUAUAAAAGUGAUUGAUAUCACUAGGCUUAGUACAAAUAAUCACGUGAUAAGGCAUUUAAUGCCUUUAAAUAUAGACAAUCAGACGACACACUAAGAUUUUAGUAUAAAUAUAGAUAAGUGAUAAUGGAUCUGAUAUAAAGAGUCACACAAAGUCAUAGAAUGAAAUCCUAUGCUCGAACCACCUCAGCAAUACUAUUAUAGAGUCAAGAAAGAAUUCUGAUUAGCAUUCAGAUUAAAAUUGUCACAGUUUGAGUCAUAUAAAUCAAUUUCUUUAUAGAGAUUUUUUUACUAUAAUCUUUCAAUUUCAGCUGUGCUGGCAAUAGUUU